Molecule: ribosomal RNA, 440 nt
Filed under: uncultured bacterium
Lineage: Bacteria
Description: bacterial SSU rRNA
Rfam family: Bacterial small subunit ribosomal RNA
Source: RNAcentral
AGCGAACGCUGGCGGCAUGCUUAACACAUGGCAAGUCGCACGGCGGGGGCAACUCCGUCAGUGGCGGACGGGUGAGUAACGCGUAGGAAUCUAUCCUUGGAAAUGGGGGACAACCGUGGGAAACUACGGCUAAUACCGCAUGAUGCCUGAGGGCCAAAGCGAAAGUCGUUUGAGGAGGAGCCUGCGUCUGAUUAGGUAGUUGGUGGGGUAAAGGCCUACCAAGCCUACGAUCAGUAGCUGGUCUGAGAGGAUGAUCAGCCACAUUGGGACUGAGACACGGCCCAAACUCCUACGGGAGGCAGCAGUGGGGAAUAUUGGACAAUGGGCGCAAGCCUGAUCCAGCAAUGCCGCGUGGGUGAAGAAGGUCUUCGGAUUGUAAAGCCCUUUUGGCGGGGACGAUGAUGACGGUACCCGCAGAAUAAGCUCCGGCUAACUUCGUG